GACAGAGGGUGCAAACGUUGUUCGGAAUUACUGAGCGUAAAGCGCGUGUAGGCGGCUAAGUAAGUCGGGCGUGAAAUCCCACGGCUCAACCGUGGAAGUGCACUCGAAACUGCAUAGCUAGAGUCCUGGAGAGGAAGGUGGAAUGCUUGGUGUAGAGGUGAAAUUCGUAGAUAUCAAGCGGAACACCGGUGGCGAAGGCGGCCUUCUGGACAGUGACUGACGCUGAGACGCGAAAGCGUGGGGAGCAAACAGG
RNAcentral lists this ribosomal RNA (253 nucleotides) under uncultured bacterium. RNAcentral describes it as "partial 16S ribosomal RNA". It matches the Rfam family "Bacterial small subunit ribosomal RNA", at positions 524 to 776 of the family's 1533-position model. The record is from RNAcentral.